Molecule: unclassified non-coding RNA, 306 nt
Filed under: Bombus terrestris (buff-tailed bumblebee)
Lineage: Eukaryota; Metazoa; Arthropoda; Insecta; Hymenoptera; Apidae
Description: misc RNA ENSBTSG00005032003.1
Source: RNAcentral
AGUAGCGAAUGCAAUGCGCGAGGACAUCGGUCAGGAUCUGGCCUGUCGAUAGUUGGAGCUUUGCCUCGGAUUCUGCCGCCUCCGGCUCGGGGCCCGAGCACGUCAUAAAACACAGAUUCAACCUACUGGAAUUAUGGCCCGGCGAUUUGCAUGGAAAUGGGAUGUCUCGUUUCACGAACAUCUUCAACUCGAACCUCUUCCACGGCACCUGGAAAAAGAUUACGAUAUUAAUAUAAAAAUUAGAUUGUUAAACAGAUCGAUCGCUUGAAAGGAAAGUGAAUAUUAUAAGGAAAUAACGCUGUAUAG